CGACCAGCACAACCAGGUUCUGAGAUCAGCAGGUCCUUAGCAGCCGCCUGAUGUUUGGGGGGUGGCCUGGCAGCUCUUGGCUUUAGCUAGGGCCUGGUCCAGUCAGGAGGCUCUGUCCUGGCUCAGAGAAGGUUCCACAGGUGACUCAACACAGUUGUCCGAUGGGGACUCUGAGCCAGUGGACCCCAUCACAGGAGCCUGGGGAGACCCUUGGGCCAAGACACCCCACCUUAGGAGCCUGAGACAGGGCACCAGUGUGUUCCAGCCCCUGGCUUCCACCAGCCUCUCUUUGGAGCUUCUGGCCACUCUGGGGGAAGGGAGUCAAGUUUGUCACUCCAUUGGACAGAUGAGGAAAACUGGUUCAGGGACUGAGUUACCCCAUGGCUGCUCAGCACGUGAACGGUCGCCAGAGAGCCCAAACCAGCGGGCUCCAAGGACACAGCAUCCCAAGGGCUGAAACAGACUCCUGGAGGCCUGGUGCAGUCCCCUCCAGCUGUUCAGAAGGAGAAUGCUAUGGGAAUCCAGUGAGUGGAGGCCAGAGAUGCUGGUAGACAUCCUAAGAUGCACAGAAUGGCAGCCACAACAAAGGAAUAUCCAGGCCCAGAUGUCAACAGAGCCAAGGUUGAGACACCAUGGGACAGAGGACUCCAAGCUGACUGUGCCUGGAGUCCAGCCCAGCUAGGAGAAGGACUGUGCCCAUCCUGCCUGGAGGGACAGGACAGCCAGGGAGCAGCGAACUCAAUCAAGGCCCGAGUGAGCAUGGGCAUGGGGUUCAAGCCAGCAUUUCUGCCCAGGUUGAGAGCCUGCUCUCUUCCCUGGCACUCUUCCUACACCUGGCCUGCUUUGUUUGUCCUCUGUUGCCUUGGCCAGAAUGCCAUGCCUUGCUUAUUAGGUCUGUUGAGACCUUGUCCAUCCAGGAAGGCUUCCAGAGUCCUACCAGAGGGAGGAUGUUCACUCCUCAACCGACGCUGGGAGCACCUUGGAUCCUCCUUGGCAUCAACCUGGAACUUUGCUCUCAACGCAGGUGGCAGGUGCUCUGAGAGGCCCCUCCUCUGCAUUGACCUCAUCACAGAGAGACCCAGGGACAAGAAGGUACAGGCCUUGGCUUUUAUUGGAAUCGGACCUGUGGGCUCCCCGGCCUCUCGGAGCCCAAAUCUCCGCUCAGUCUGUCCUCCCAGGUACAAGUGGCUGACCUGAGUUGGAGCAGGCUGCAAGGGCUUCUAUUUCUUCUCUUCUACCCAUGGGACCUACCCCUUCCUCCCCCCCUUGAGCCUUCCUGAGGCUGGCCCAGUCUCUGGUGCUGGGCAGCUGCUGGGGUGUCUCAGUGUGGGGGCGACUGCUGGUAGGGGCUGAGCCCUUCCUGUCUGGACCUGCCUCCUCCUCCUGAGCCAUCCUUUUCCCUCCUGUCCCCAUGGGGACAGCCAGCCCUUGGCACUCAUAUCCUUAUGGUCUCUCCAGAGCCCCAGAGCGGGUUCUUUUGCACAAAGGACAUGUAGACUCCUCUGAGGCCCCCCAGGACCUCUUGGGCCUGAGCCCCAAGCCUUCAGAGGGACUGGGCUGGAAGGGGGCACCCUUGGUUGGGUCCACACUGGAACUGGAAGCUAAGAAAAGUAGGGAAAGACAAUCACUCAGAGGAACCCAAGUGGAGGCUGCCAGCCCAUCCUAUGACACACCCCCAAACCAGAGCCUGUCAUUCUUCAGAAUAGGAAGGGGCAGAAGGGAGGGGCAGUUCUCUUGAAAGAGAGCCCAUGAGGGAGGAGGAAGAAGGAAACAUGGUUCAAGCCGGAAGGACCUUUCUGUGAUUUGACCUUCUCAUUUUAUAAAUGGGCACAGUGGAACUAGGGAGGGUAGGGGUGAUGGUGGGGAGCUGUCCAAGGUCCCUCACUGAGUGCAGACCUGGGACAGGAACCCAGGAACUUUGGGAAGGAAAAGGACCCCAUUCUUGGUCCAGCUGAGUCCCCAGCCAACUCUUCCCUGGGUCUUUCCCUCCUGUCCCCAGCCCUGCCUCACCUGGACAGGUGCUCACCUGUAUUUCCCAGGCUGUCCCUGGGUAUUGGAGCUUCCAGGAGGGCCAAGCAGUGGCUGUUACCUGGGCUCAGAGUCCCCUGUGGCAGGUCUAGGGGCCAGGCCAUGACCUCAGGACGUGAGAGGCAGCCCUUAGCCAUGAGCCGGCCCAGCCAGUGGCUCUCACACUGGCCGGCAGGUUGCAUGUGGCCUGGCAGGUAGAGAGCCAGGCCCCGGAGGUGGCGCAGUUGGAAGUUCUUAGGCUUUCUUCCCUGGGCACUGGGACACUGCUGCUGCUGGGCCCCCAGUCCCCCUUCGUAGAUGUUGGGUGGUAUGUUGGGGUGGCUGGGAUGUCCUCGGGCCCAGCUCACUGCAUCUGCAGAGGGGAGAGCAGGAGGGUGGUGGCUGGCAGGCUGCAGCAGCCAAGAGAGGAGAAUACAAUCACGUGCUCUAAGACCAGCUCAUUAGAUGGGCUCCACUGUGGCUUGCUGAGCACCGGCCUAUCUUUCCAUCAAAUGGUCUCAGUCCCCUGCCUCCCACCAACCCCCACCCAACAUAUUACUCCUCUUCCCUUUCCCAAUCACAGUGGCUUCUCACUUUCCCAAUCAAUAGGAAGGUGUGAAAAGUCUGAGAGCGUGAUGCAAAGAUCUCUCAGGAUUUCAAGCCCUUUCUCCCACCCCUUUUUGCCCCCUAUCCUAGAAAGAGCAUUCCAGUGUCAGUAUAGAAAUUGCACAGUGGGUCCAGGAUCACAUAGUCUAGGGUCACACAGCCUAGACCACUAGUGGCCAUUCCCCUCUCCCAAGGAUGCAUGUCUCUGAGGCCACUCUGGUGGCUUUGGGCCCAGGUCAGGACAGGAGGGCAACUCUCCUCCUGCCACUCCUCCCUGCAGCCUGGCACCUUCUCUUAUGCGCAGCUCAGAGAACGCACAGACCAAGGCUUCCAUGGAGGGCCAGAAUGGUGGGGGAGGAGCAGCUGGGCCUCCUGUGCAGCAGGGCUCUGUUCUCCCCCCCUGGAUCUGCAGGGCUCCCAUGGCAACCAGCUCUGUGAUGUCAAACGGAAGACUCUCAGUCUUCCUGGACCUUCAAGUUUGGGAGAGGAUGAAGCCUAGGGAUGGGGCAGAGUGGGGCAAGGCCAAAAGAAGGAAAUGGAACUCUAGAGGAGGUCCUUGAUCCUCUGGGUUAGGACAGGCCACACAAAACAGCUCUUGCAGGCUGCAAAGUCACCCCUGGGUGACCUCUGGGGGUCUCAGUUUGCUCAUCCCAUAAAAAUGAGGCCCCAGGGGCACAGACUUGGUGAGGUCUGAGCCAGCGCUUUGAGCCUACUGAGAAGGUGGUUCUGAGUGGCUGAGCAAGUCACUUAAUUUUCCUAAUUGUGCAUUGUCCUAUAAGUAGAUGAUGGGUAUCAUGUGGGUCAUACGAGUGGAAGAACUGGAGCUCUCAUUUACUGCUGGGGAGGAAUGUAAAG
Long non-coding RNA from Canis lupus familiaris (dog), 3468 nucleotides. RefSeq lists it as uncharacterized. The record is from RefSeq and is a predicted model, not a curated record. NCBI's taxonomy places the organism in Eukaryota, Metazoa, Chordata, Mammalia, Carnivora, Canidae. The transcript is spliced from 3 exons.